This is a long non-coding RNA of Homo sapiens (human), 1672 nucleotides long. The record is from Ensembl. NCBI's taxonomy places the organism in Eukaryota, Metazoa, Chordata, Mammalia, Primates, Hominidae.
UACAGACGACGUGCGGCCCCAGGACUGCUACCACGGCGCGGGGGAGCAGUACCGCGGCACGGUCAGCAAGACCCGCAAGGGUGUCCAGUGCCAGCGCUGGUCCGCUGAGACGCCGCACAAGCUGCAGUGAGUCCCUGGUGCUCCCGGCCCCGCCAGGGCCCUAACCCUGGGGCGGCAUGCUUUGAUGUCUGGGACCAGAGCCUGGAAAUGGUUGAGACUACCCUGCCACGAUUUUGCUCCCGCUCCCGCCUCGGUUCACAUUUACCUCCGAACCGCAUGCACAACUGGAGGAGAACUUCUGCCAGACCCAGAUGGGGAUAGCCAUGGGCCCUGGUGCUACACGAUGGACCCAAGGACCCCAUUCGACUACUGUGCCCUGCGACGCUGCGCUGAUGACCAGCCGCCAUCAAUCCUGGACCCCCCCAGGUUACGAGUUGGGCCAGUUAUGGGUCAGGCCCUUUAGCCCACGACAUCCACACAGUCUGGGUUUCAUCCAGCCCACCCCAUCCUACAGACCAGGUGCAGUUUGAGAAGUGUGGCAAGAGGGUGGAUCGGCUGGAUCAGCGUCGUUCCAAGCUGCGCGUGGCUGGGGGCCAUCCGGGCAACUCACCCUGGACAGUCAGCUUGCGGAAUCGGUGAGGCACAACUGCCUGUCUCCCACAGAGAGGAGCUGAGGUUGUGUCCUCUGUGGUUAUGCCACUGGGGGCUGGGAAUCUAUCCCUGCCCCCAGAGGUCCUAGCCAGAAGAUGGCAGGUCUAGCAUCUGUCCCAGGAGUCUGUUCCCUGUCCUAAUUCCCCACUCCUCUAGGCAGGGCCAGCAUUUCUGCGCGGGGUCUCUAGUAAAGGAGCAGUGGAUACUGACUGCCCGGCAGUGCUUCUCCUCCUGGUGAGCCUCCCUUGUGUUUGGGGACCCAGUCUCAUCCCACUUUCCCCUUUCCCCAGGCAAGCUAACAAGUGAGCCUUGGGGCAACGGACUGAGAGUCACAAAUGACCUAGCAGAGCUUCUCUCCCAGCCAUAUGCCUCUCACGGGCUAUGAGGUAUGGUUGGGCACCCUGUUCCAGAACCCACAACAUGGAGAGCCAGGCCUACAGCGGGUCCCAGUAGCCAAGAUGCUGUGUGGGCCCUCAGGCUCCCAGCUUGUCCUGCUCAAGCUGGAGAGAUCUGUGACCCUGAACCAGCGUGUGGCCCUGAUCUGCCUGCCGCCUGAAUGGUAUGUGGUGCCUCCAGGGACCAAGUGUGAGAUUGCAGGCUGGGGUGAGACCAAAGGUACGGGUAAUGACACAGUCCUAAAUGUGGCCUUGCUGAACGUCAUCUCCAACCAGGAGUGUAACAUCAAGCACCGAGGACAUGUGCGGGAGAGCGAGAUGUGCACUGAGGGACUGUUGGCCCCUGUGGGGGCCUGUGAGGGUGACUACGGGGGCCCACUUGCCUGCUUUACCCACAACUGCUGGGUCCUGAAAGGAAUUAGAAUCCCCAACCGAGUAUGCACAAGGUCGCGCUGGCCAGCCGUCUUCACGCGUGUCUCUGUGUUUGUGGACUGGAUUCACAAGGUCAUGAGACUGGGUUAGGCCCAGCCUUGACGCCAUAUGCUUUGGGGAGGACAAAACUUGUAAGUACAGUCAAGGACAAGACUUGUACUCAAGGUUGAGAUUUAAUAAAAUUAAUAUUUUUA